UUGAGAUCCCCCCUGCCUCUGCCUCUUGAGUACCGGGAUUAAGGGUGUGCGCCACCACACCUGGCAUCAUCACCCCUAUUCUCCUAAGGAAAUCCUUUCUCCUCAUCACGGUGGGGACAUUAUCAACAGCCUCUCUAGUUGUCACCUCACCUGGCUGAGCUGUGGGAGUAUGAGGCUCAGAGCUGCUUCAUCCCAGCAGCAUUCAGCUCACACCUGGCCUGGAGCAGCCGCUGAGCAAAUAUUUGUGGAAUUGUUUUUGUGGUUGCUGUACUCUCUGGUUCUGAGUGCCUGUUUUGGUAACCUGCCCAGGACUGAAUUCCUCCUACCUCUCAGCAAUGGUCCCUUUCUCUCUGAACACCCAGUUCUGCCUGUGAAACCUGGGAGCUGAUGACACAGCUCUUGCUGCCGAUCCGCCUGCUGGAAUUCCCAGUGUUGCCCGGGAUCCCAGACGGGGCCUCCACCCACCUGUCAGAAUCCCAGAUGCUCUCCAGUGUCUGGUUGUUCUGUCUGCUCUUUGUAAGUUGCGUAUCUACCUGUGGAGCUGGAUGCCCCAUAGGUCCUCCAACAGGUUCAGAGGCUCAGUGCUGGCACUGAGACAAUCACCAAGACAUGCUGUUAAGUAAAAAGAAGUCAGAGCAAAAGACUGAGUAUGUUAUGUAUUCAUGUGAGGAAAAAAUAACAAAGAAACAGACAUUGGAGUUUGAACAAAACAUUUAUUUACCUGCGUGUUUGUAUGAGUGGUGUGUGUGUGUGUUUGUAUGCAUGUGCACACACGUGUGUAUGGGUGUUCAUGCAAGUGUGUACAGGUGGAGGCCAGAGGUCAAUGUUGGAUGUCUUUCUCACUAGUUCUCCACUUCGUUUUUCCUAAAGGGUCUCAUACUGAACCUGGACGUUCAUGGCUUUGGUUAGACUGGCUGUCUGGGCUCCAGGGAUUUGCCUGACUCUCCACCCUGACCCCAAAUACUGAGGGCCCCAGCCAGAGAAAUGUGCCAUUCACCUUCAGGAUGGGUCUUCACACCCUCAUCGACGAACCCACAGGCAUGUUUCCAUGGUGGCUCUAAAUCCAUUCAAGUUGAUGAUGAAGACCAACCACCACGGAGCCGCUUGGUUGUGCUAUUUGCGAUCCUGCACUGAUGCUGAGACUCCACACGCAGAAAUCUCUUCUUUGUCAUAACCCAAAUUAUGGGACUUUCAGAUCUCUACAUGUGAACCCACACCACCUCUCACCUGAAGCCAACGCCCCUCUCCAGCUGUCACUCUGGCUUGGCUUCAGUCCUAAUCUCUACUGGUUCUUUAGUUCUUUGUGGCCCAGACUGUUCCCCCGACUCGUCCCAACCCAGCGCAAGGUUUAAGAAGGGUUCUUGCAGUCGGAAAUCUGAGCAGAUGCACACAGAGAUUAGCUCUACCAGGUACACAGGAGUCCUCAACAGACAAGGCUCCGCCACCAGUCACUAGCUGUGGGAAUGUGGGAUGGGUCCUGGACCUCUCUGAGUCUCAGAUUCUUCAGUUAUAAAAACAAAUAGUCAAACUCAUGGCCUCGUACGAGGGUCAAAAGCAUAUAGUGCUUAGCACAAUGCCUGCUAGUUACAAACUACUAACUACUACUUCGUAUUAUUUCAGCAGGUACCACAUGGAUCCAGGGAUCCAGGGUCAGACCUGCUCUUUUGUCAUGAUCCAAUCUCAUGGAAACUAUUCAUCCCAGGAGUUCUGCCUAAUCAUGGAUACUCAGUUUCUCCUUUGCAUUCCUCCUCCAGCUAUAGAUCCAGGAACUAAGAUGCUCACUGUAUCUCAUGUUCAGAUAUCCACGAUCACAUAGGUUUCCUUAGACUCUCCAGUGUUCUAAACUGGGAGGAGUCUAGAUCAGCUAAAACCCACAUAUAAGAUGCCACAUCCUGGUACCAGCCCAGAAAUUCUGUAUUUGUUUAAAUGACAUUUGCAUUUUCUGCUUAUGACAGAUACAUAUUAUUGUAUAAUUACAGUGUCUAGAAGCAUUUGAAAGUCGGUAAUUAUAGAAACCCAUACCAGUCCCAUCAAGUAUGUUCCUAGUCUUCAUCUGUGACUAUUGAGCCCUUAAAAAUAAGCGUUUUAUGACAAAUUGGUGUUUAUUAUAGACAACUACAGACAUAGAAAACUGCAUAGAAGAUAUGAAAGCCAUUUGCCUUCUCCACUUCCAGAGACAACGGUAAACAGUUUGGUAUGCAUCCCAAGCUUUUCUUUUUCUGAGUUUAUUUUUUCUUUACAUAUGCGUAUUGACUAUUUGUGAGCUCCAAAUUUAAUAACAGUAUUUAGUGUUGCCCGAGUUGAUGAAUGUUCUAAAAAUUAGUUUAUUUUGUCUUUUUGAUAUAGGGUCUUGCUCUGUAGCCCAGGCUUGCCUCAAAUUCGUGCUCCUCCUGCCUCAUAAUGUCUAAAGACUAUAUGAUAAAAUAUUUAGAUUUUAUUUAUUGUUCAUAUUGUUUCCUUAGAAUCCAUUCCCACCAUUGUUGGAAUGAAUUUACUAAUAUAUAGCCUUUAAUUCCAUUCUAUGAUAAUUAUAUCAAUAUGAUUUCUAAGUUGUAGAAAUCUUCAUUACUAUAAUAGAAUAUCUGGGUGAAAAUUAUGAAAAAAUAUUAAAACUUUCAUUAAUCUUUCCAAAUUCUUGCUAGAAAAUUCUACCGCCAAAGCUAUGUGAGAUUUCCUGGCUCAUGGGGCUCAGUAAACAUUAGCUACUUUUA
Molecule: long non-coding RNA, 2711 nt
Organism: Peromyscus maniculatus bairdii (prairie deer mouse)
Lineage: Eukaryota; Metazoa; Chordata; Mammalia; Rodentia; Cricetidae
Source: RefSeq, a predicted model, not a curated record